Molecule: long non-coding RNA, 463 nt
Filed under: Homo sapiens (human)
Lineage: Eukaryota; Metazoa; Chordata; Mammalia; Primates; Hominidae
Description: HSALNT0352605
Source: RNAcentral
UGGCCCAAUAAUUCUGCUUCUGAAUACACGUGUUGAAGAGAUUCUCACACAUAUCCACAGGGUGCCUGUGCAGCAGUAUUCACUGUGAUAGGAAGUGAGAAGCAGUCUGAGUGUUCAUUGCUGAGGGAAUCAAGGGCAAAAUAUCAUGGAUGCACUCAUGGACAAAUAAGCAGCAGUUUGAAGCAACAACCUAGAUGGAUGUACAGCCAUCAAGAGGAUCUUAAAGUGUGGUCUUUAGUGGAAAAAAAGGUUACAUUUGAACAUAUUUAUCUGCUAAAGCAAAAUAAUUCCCAUCAUUCUAUAGCAGAAGCAAUGUAUGGGAGACUGAGUAAUUACAUAUAAGCUCACAUCACUAUCUCUUCCACCACUGUCAUCCAUCAUGACUGAUCUGGGAGAUGAAACAGCACAGAUCUAAAGGACGUGGCUGGAGUGCAAUGGCAUGGUAUCGGCUCACUGCAACCUC